CCUACGGGUGGCAGCAGUGAGGAAUAUUGGUCAAUGGACGCGAGUCUGAACCAGCCAAGUAGCGUGAAGGAUGACUGCCCUAUGGUUUGUAAACUUCUUUUAUAUGGGAGUAAAAUGUACCGUGUGUGGUGUUUUGUAUGUACCAUAUGAAUAAGGAUCGGCUAACUCCGUGCCAGCAGCCGCGGUAAUACGGAGGGUUCGAGCGUUAUCCGGAUUUAUUGGGGUUAAGGGGAGCGUAGGUGGAUUGUUAAGUCAGAUGUGAAAGUUUGCGGCUCAACCGUAAAAUUGCAAUUGAUACUGGCAGCCUUGAGUACAGUUGAGGUAGGCGGAAUUCGUGGUGUAGCGGUGAAAUGCUUAGAUAUCACGAAGAACACCGAUUGCGAAGGCAGCCUACUAAACUGCCACUGACAUUGAUGCGCGAAAGUGUGGGUAUCAAACAGGAUUAGAUACCCCUGUAGUC
This 460-nucleotide ribosomal RNA is filed under the name uncultured bacterium. RNAcentral describes it as "partial 16S ribosomal RNA". It matches the Rfam family "Bacterial small subunit ribosomal RNA", at positions 338 to 795 of the family's 1533-position model. The record is from RNAcentral.